Molecule: ribosomal RNA, 496 nt
Filed under: uncultured bacterium
Lineage: Bacteria
Description: partial 16S ribosomal RNA
Rfam family: Bacterial small subunit ribosomal RNA
Source: RNAcentral
GAUGAACGCUGGCGGCGUGCCUAAUACAUGCAAGUCGAGCGAACGGACGAGAAGCUUGCUUCUCUGAUGUUAGCGGCGGACGGGUGAGUAACACGUGGAUAACCUACCUAUAAGACUGGGAUAACUUCGGGAAACCGGAGCUAAUACCGGAUAAUAUUUUGAACCGCAUGGUUCAAAAGUGAAAGACGGUCUUGCUGUCACUUAUAGAUGGAUCCGCGCUGCAUUAGCUAGUUGGUAAGGUAACGGCUUACCAAGGCAACGAUGCAUAGCCGACCUGAGAGGGUGAUCGGCCACACUGGAACUGAGACACGGUCCAGACGCCUACGGGAGGCAGCAGUAGGGAAUCUUCCGCAAUGGGCGAAAGCCUGACGGAGCAACGCCGCGUGAGUGAUGAAGGGCUUCGGAUCGUAAAACUCUGUUAUUAGGGAAGAACAUAUGUGUAAGUAACUGUGCACAUCUUGACGGUACCUAAUCAGAAAGCCACGGCUAACUACGU